CACGUAUGCAACUUGCCUCUAUCAGGGGAAUAGCCCAGAGAAAUUUGGAUUAAUACCCCAUAGUAUCAUUUUAUCGCAUGAUUUAAUGAUUAAAACUCCGGUGGAUAGAGAUAGGCAUGCGGCCCAUUAGUUUGUUGGUGAGGUAACGGCUCACCAAGACUACGAUGGGUAGGGGGUCUGAGAGGAUGAUCCCCCACACUGGUACUGAGACACGGACCAGACUCCUACGGGAGGCAGCAGUGAGGAAUAUUGCGCAAUGGACGAAAGUCUGACGCAGCCAUACCGCGUGCAGGAAGACGG
RNAcentral lists this ribosomal RNA (300 nucleotides) under uncultured Cryomorphaceae bacterium. Its description in RNAcentral is "bacterial SSU rRNA". It matches the Rfam family "Bacterial small subunit ribosomal RNA", at positions 114 to 414 of the family's 1533-position model. The record is from RNAcentral. Lineage: Bacteria; Pseudomonadati; Bacteroidota; Flavobacteriia; Flavobacteriales; Cryomorphaceae.